AGUCGUACGCUUCUUUUUCCACCGGAGCUUGCUCCACCGGAAAAAGAGGAGUGGCGAACGGGUGAGUAACACGUGGGUAACCUGCCCAUCAGAAGGGGAUAACACUUGGAAACAGGUGCUAAUACCGUAUAACAAUCGAAACCGCAUGGUUUUGAUUUGAAAGGCGCUUUCGGGUGUCGCUGAUGGAUGGACCCGCGGUGCAUUAGCUAGUUGGUGAGGUAACGGCUCACCAAGGCCACGAUGCAUAGCCGACCUGAGAGGGUGAUCGGCCACAUUGGGACUGAGACACGGCCCAAACUCCUACGGGAGGCAGCAGUAGGGAAUCUUCGGCAAUGGACGAAAGUCUGACCGAGCAACGCCGCGUGAGUGAAGAAGGUUUUCGGAUCGUAAAACUCUGUUGUUAGAGAAGAACAAGGAUGAGAGUAACUGUUCAUCCCUUGACGGUAUCUAACCAGAAAGCCACGGCUAACUACGUGCCAGCAGCCGCGGUAAUACGUAGGUGGCAAGCGUUGUCCGGAUUUAUUGGGCGUAAAGCGAGCGCAGGCGGUUUCUUAAGUCUGAUGUGAAAGCCCCCGGCUCAACCGGGGAGGGUCAUUGGAAACUGGGAGACUUGAGUGCAGAAGAGGAGAGUGGAAUUCCAUGUGUAGCGGUGAAAUGCGUAGAUAUAUGGAGGAACACCAGUGGCGAA
Molecule: ribosomal RNA, 688 nt
Filed under: uncultured bacterium
Lineage: Bacteria
Description: bacterial SSU rRNA
Rfam family: Bacterial small subunit ribosomal RNA
Source: RNAcentral